GGAAUUUUGGACAAUGGGCGCAAGCCUGAUCCAGCCAUGCCGCGUGUGUGAAGAAGGCCUUCGGGUUGUAAAGCACUUUCGGACGGAACGAAAUCGCGCGGGUGAACAAUCCGCGUGGAUGACGGUACCGUAAGAAGAAGCACCGGCUAACUACGUGCCAGCAGCCGCGGUAAUACGUAGGGUGCGAGCGUUAAUCGGAAUUACUGGGCGUAAAGGGUGCGCAGGCUGCCCCGCAAGUCAAGUGUGAAAUCCCCGGGCUUAACUUGGGAAUGGCGCUUGAAACUACGGCGCUGGAGUGUGGCAGAGGGAGGUGGAAUUCCACGUGUAGCGGGGAAAUGCGUAGAGAUGUGGAGGAACACCGAUGGCGAAGGCAGCCUCCUGGGCCAACACUGACGCUCAUGCACGAAAGCGUGGGGAGCAAACA
RNAcentral lists this ribosomal RNA (424 nucleotides) under uncultured bacterium. RNAcentral's name for it is "bacterial SSU rRNA". It matches the Rfam family "Bacterial small subunit ribosomal RNA", at positions 358 to 774 of the family's 1533-position model. The record is from RNAcentral.